Molecule: ribosomal RNA, 436 nt
Filed under: uncultured Parvibaculum sp.
Lineage: Bacteria; Pseudomonadati; Pseudomonadota; Alphaproteobacteria; Hyphomicrobiales; Parvibaculaceae
Description: bacterial SSU rRNA
Rfam family: Bacterial small subunit ribosomal RNA
Source: RNAcentral
AGAGUUUGAUCAUGGCUCAGAACGAACGCUGGCGGCAGGCUUAACACAUGCAAGUCGAACGGCUGUAGCAAUACAGCAGUGGCAGACGAGUGAGUAACACGUGGGAACCUUCCUAGGGGUACGGAACAACUCAGGGAAACUUGAGCUAAUACCGUAUACGUCCGUAAGGAGAAAGAUUCAUCGCCCCUAGACGGGCCCGCGUCGGAUUAGGUAGUUGGUGGGGUAACGGCCUACCAAGCCUGCGAUCCGUAGCUGAUCUGAGAGGAUGAUCAGCCACACUGGGACUGAGACACGGCCCAGACUCCUACGGGAGGCAGCAGUGGGGAAUCUUGGACAAUGGGCGCAAGCCUGAUCCAGCCAUGCCGCGUGAGUGAAGAAGGCCUUAGGGUUGUAAAGCUCUUUUACCAGGGACGAUAAUGACGGUACCUGAGAAUAG